UUAAAAUAGUUUAAAAAAAAUAUUGAUAUGUGGAAUCAAAGUUUAUAUGUUAUUUUAAUUU
RNAcentral lists this transfer RNA (61 nucleotides) under Arytainilla spartiophila (broom psyllid). RNAcentral describes it as "tRNA-His". The record is from RNAcentral. Lineage: Eukaryota; Metazoa; Arthropoda; Insecta; Hemiptera; Psyllidae.